This 75-nucleotide transfer RNA is filed under the name Rhodospirillaceae bacterium. RNAcentral's name for it is "tRNA-Gly". It matches the Rfam family "tRNA". From Rfam's summary of the family: Transfer RNA (tRNA) molecules are approximately 80 nucleotides in length. Their secondary structure includes four short double-helical elements and three loops (D, anti-codon, and T loops). Further hydrogen bonds mediate the characteristic L-shaped molecular structure. tRNAs have two regions of fundamental functional importance: the anti-codon, which is responsible for specific mRNA codon recognition, and the 3' end, to which the tRNAs corresponding amino acid is attached (by aminoacyl-tRNA synthetases). tRNAs cope with the degeneracy of the genetic code in two manners: having more than one tRNA (with a specific anti-codon) for a particular amino acid; and 'wobble' base-pairing, i.e. permitting non-standard base-pairing at the 3rd anti-codon position. Lineage: Bacteria; Pseudomonadati; Pseudomonadota; Alphaproteobacteria; Rhodospirillales; Rhodospirillaceae. The record is from RNAcentral.
GCGGGCGUAGCUCAGGGGUAGAGCGCAACCUUGCCAAGGUUGAAGUCGGCGGUUCAAAUCCGCUCGCCCGCUCCA